This 250-nucleotide ribosomal RNA is filed under the name uncultured bacterium. RNAcentral's name for it is "partial 16S ribosomal RNA". It matches the Rfam family "Bacterial small subunit ribosomal RNA", at positions 524 to 773 of the family's 1533-position model. The record is from RNAcentral.
UACGUAAGGGGCAAGCGUUAUCCGGAUUUACUGGGUGUAAAGGGAGCGCAGGCGGUAUAGCAAGUCUGAUGUGAAAGGCCGGGGCUUAACCCCGGGACUGCAUUGGAAACUGUUAAACUAGAUUGCAGGAGAGGUAAGUGGAAUUCCUAGUGUAGCGGUGAAAUGCGUAGAUAUUAGGAGGAACACCAGUGGCGAAGGCGGCUUACUGGACUGUAAAUGACGCUGAGGCUCGAAAGCGUGGGGAGCAAAC